GGGGAGGCCUAACACAUGCAAGUCGAGCGGUAGAGAGAAGCUUGCUUCUCUUGAGAGCGGCGGACGGGUGAGUAAUGCCUAGGAAUCUGCCUGGUAGUGGGGGAUAACGUUCGGAAACGGACGCUAAUACCGCAUACGUCCUACGGGAGAAAGCAGGGGACCUUCGGGCCUUGCGCUAUCAGAUGAGCCUAGGUCGGAUUAGCUAGUUGGUGAGGUAAUGGCUCACCAAGGCGACGAUCCGUAACUGGUCUGAGAGGAUGAUCAGUCACACUGGAACUGAGACACGGUCCAGACUCCUACGGGAGGCAGCAGUGGGGAAUAUUGGACAAUGGGCGAAAGCCUGAUCCAGCCAUGCCGCGUGUGUGAAGAAGGUCUUCGGAUUGUAAAGCACUUUAAGUUGGGAGGAAGGGUUGUAGAUUAAUACUCUGCAAUUUUGACGUUACCGACAGAAUAAGCACCGGCUAACUCUGUGCCAGCAGCCGCGGUAAUACAGAGGGUGCAAGCGUUAAUCGGAAUUACUGGGCGUAAAGCGCGCGUAGGUGGUUUGUUAAGUUGGAUGUGAAAUCCCCGGGCUCAACCUGGGAACUGCAUUCAAAACUGACUGACUAGAGUAUGGUAGAGGGUGGUGGAAUUUCCUGUGUAGCGGUGAAAUGCGUAGAUAUAGGAAGGAACACCUGUGGCCAACGCGAUCACUUGGACUAGUGCUGCCCCCGAGGUGCAACACCGUGGGGAGCAAACAGGAUGGGGUGCCCCUUUAGUCCACGCCGUAAACGAUGUCAACUAGCCGUUGGAAGCCUUGAGCUUUUAGUGGCGCAGCUAACGCAUUAAGUUGACCGCCUGGGGAGUACGGCCGCAAGGUUAAAACUCAAAUGAAUUGACGGGGGCCCGCACAAGCGGUGGAGCAUGUGGUUUAAUUCGAAGCAACGCGAAGAACCUUACCAGGGCCUUGACAUCCAAUGAACUUUCUAGAGAUAGAUUGGUGCCUUCGGAACAUUGAGACAGGUGCUGCAUGGCUGUCGUCAGCUCGUGUCGUGAGAUGUUGGGUUAAGUUCCCGUAACGAGCGCAACCCUUGUCCUUAGUUUACCAGCACGUAAUGUGGGCACUCUAAGGAGACUGGCGAUGACAACCGCAGAAGUGGGAAUGACGUCAGGUCAUCAUGUCUUACGGCUGGCUUACCAACCGUGCUACAAUGCUUCGGUUAACAGAAGUUUGGCUCAAGCCUGCU
RNAcentral lists this ribosomal RNA (1226 nucleotides) under Pseudomonas sp. Its description in RNAcentral is "bacterial SSU rRNA". It matches the Rfam family "Bacterial small subunit ribosomal RNA", at positions 40 to 1267 of the family's 1533-position model. The record is from RNAcentral. Lineage: Bacteria; Pseudomonadati; Pseudomonadota; Gammaproteobacteria; Pseudomonadales; Pseudomonadaceae.